UAGCGGAAGGGGCUCCGGUUACGUUGGAGGGCUGGAGUGGUCUGGAGUUCCACGGCGUAGUUGGCUAGAGACCACCUCUCCUGUGGCCUCUUAGUGUCCCGAGGGUGGCGUUCAGCCCAAGCUGGAUAGAGACAGCCCUUCGUGGAUUUAAACAACCUAAACAUUAAGCAAUACAGCUGCCUCAAAUCUUUGGGAAUUUCAGAAUGACUGACACUGCCGAAGCUGUUCCAAACUUUGAAGAAUGUUUGCUAGUAGAUUCACAAAAGACGACGAGGAAUAUCAGGAAUACUUAAAACGCCCUCCUGAGUCCCCUCCAAUUGUUGAGGAAUGGAAUAGCAGAGCUGGUGGGAACCAAAGAAACAAGCAACUGAUUGCAAGAUAACAGACAGUUCAGAGGCAGGGACAGCAGAUGGAGGUGGCCAAGUGACAAUCGAUCCAAUCAGUGGCAUGGACGAUCCUGGGGUAACAAUUACCCACAACACAGACAAGAACCUUACUAUCCCCACCAAUAUGGACAUUAUGGUUACAACCAGUGGCCUCCUUACGGUUACUACUGAUAGAAACGUUGGCAGCUUUUAGCAAAAGCAUUUACUCUGUUACCAUGACAAAAGUUUGGGUGUCUUCUGUUGGUCAUAGUUAUACAUUUGAUUUUAGAGAAGGGAUUAUUUUUUGGAAGUUGAGAUUUAAAAAAAAAUAGAUCUUACUUGCGGGAUGCUAUGUUUGCUGGUAAUACCUGAAAUUGUGGAUUAUAUUGCUUGACUUCUACCUCAGAGUCUUCCUUGUUUCGCGACGUAAUAGUACUUUGAGUUUGGUAUAUUUUCUUAUUUGACCUCUAGGAGACCUUUGUUUUACACAGAAAUAAAAAUUUUUAAAUAGAAAAUG
Molecule: RNA transcript, 882 nt
Organism: Sapajus apella (tufted capuchin)
Lineage: Eukaryota; Metazoa; Chordata; Mammalia; Primates; Cebidae
Gene name: RNA guanine-N7 methyltransferase activating subunit pseudogene
Exons: 1
Source: RefSeq, a predicted model, not a curated record